AUUCCCUUUAUUUUCAUGCAUUAAAUUUGUUGAUAGAUGGUUCUCUUACCCUUCCUGUCGCAUCCCCUUUUGUCUCUUCUUUCUCCAUUUCCCCAGAAAGUGCUUCAAAGAAUUGUAUUGAUGUGAGGAUUGCUGAACACUAUCUGCAUAGGAUAUUAGGAUUUUGUUUGUGAUCUCUUUCUAUCAUGCAUGUACAAUUGUAGUCUAGUAUUUUAUUGUUCCUUCAAUAGCAUUGAGAUGUGACAAUUAAUUGGUUUUAUAAGUUAUGCAAAAAGAUAAAAUGUUAUGAAUUAUUAGCAUUUCUUAUUUUAAUUUACUUCAACCUUGGAUUUUGAUGAAUCCUUUAAACAUGUAACCGUAUUUGUUUUUCUCCUUGCUUAAAAGAUGAAAAAAGUUCAAUCUUCAGUCUUAUUGCCAUUUAUAUUAAAUUGAAGCAUUUUAAGACACCAUUUGAUUACUGCUAGAAAAAAGCAACAAAAAUGGUUUUGUUGCUGUAUCAAUAACCUAUGAAGUAUUAUUGUUCUUAGCAACCUUUUAGUGCCAAGAGUGCUAUGUUCUUGAUUCUUAUA
Molecule: unclassified non-coding RNA, 569 nt
Filed under: Hevea brasiliensis (rubber tree)
Lineage: Eukaryota; Viridiplantae; Streptophyta; Magnoliopsida; Malpighiales; Euphorbiaceae
Source: RNAcentral